This 957-nucleotide ribosomal RNA is filed under the name Loigolactobacillus coryniformis. Its description in RNAcentral is "bacterial SSU rRNA". It matches the Rfam family "Bacterial small subunit ribosomal RNA", at positions 146 to 1087 of the family's 1533-position model. The record is from RNAcentral. Lineage: Bacteria; Bacillati; Bacillota; Bacilli; Lactobacillales; Lactobacillaceae.
ACAUUUGGAAACAGAUGCUAAUACCGCAUAACCAUUCAGACCACAUGGUCUGAAUGUAAAAGACGGCCUUUGGCUGUCACUUUUGGACGGACCCGCGGCGUAUUAGUUAGUUGGUAAGGUAACGGCUUACCAAGACAAUGAUACGUAGCCGACCUGAGAGGGUAAUCGGCCACAUUGGGACUGAGACACGGCCCAAACUCCUACGGGAGGCAGCAGUAGGGAAUCUUCCACAAUGGACGAAAGUCUGAUGGAGCAACGCCGCGUGAGUGAAGAAGGUUUUAGGAUCGUAAAACUCUGUUGUUGGAGAAGAACAGGGACUAGAGUAACUGUUAGUCCUUUGACGGUAUCCAACCAGAAAGCCACGGCUAACUACGUGCCAGCAGCCGCGGUAAUACGUAGGUGGCAAGCGUUGUCCGGAUUUAUUGGGCGUAAAGCGAGCGCAGGCGGUUUUUUAAGUCUGAUGUGAAAGCCUUCGGCUUAACCGAAGAAGUGCAUUAGAAACUGGGAAACUUGAGUGCAGAAGAGGACAGUGGAACUCCAUGUGUAGCGGUGAAAUGCGUAGAUAUAUGGAAGAACACCAGUGGCGAAGGCGGCUGUCUGGUCUGUAACUGACGCUGAGGCUCGAAAGUAUGGGGAGCGAACAGGAUUAGAUACCCUGGUAGUCCAUACCGUAAACGAUGAAUGCUAAGUGUUGGAGGGUUUCCGCCCUUCAGUGCUGCAGCUAACGCAUUAAGCAUUCCGCCUGGGGAGUACGACCGCAAGGUUGAAACUCAAAGGAAUUGACGGGGGCCCGCACAAGCGGUGGAGCAUGUGGUUUAAUUCGAAGCAACGCGAAGAACCUUACCAGGUCUUGACAUCCUUUGACCACUGUAGAGAUACAGCUUUCCCUUCGGGGACAAAGUGACAGGUGGUGCAUGGUUGUCGUCAGCUCGUGUCGUGAGAUGUUGGGUUAAGUCC